This 484-nucleotide ribosomal RNA is filed under the name uncultured bacterium. RNAcentral's name for it is "partial 16S ribosomal RNA". It matches the Rfam family "Bacterial small subunit ribosomal RNA", at positions 28 to 507 of the family's 1533-position model. The record is from RNAcentral.
AUUGAACGCUGGCGGCAUGCUUUACACAUGCAAGUCGAGCGGCAGCGCGGGCUUCGGCCUGGCGGCGAGUGGCGAACGGGUGAGUAAUGCAUCGGAACGUGCCCAGUAGUGGGGGAUAGCCCGGCGAAAGCCGGAUUAAUACCGCAUACGACCUGAGGGUGAAAGCGGGGGACCGAAAGGCCUCGCGCUAUUGGAGCGGCCGAUGUCGGAUUAGCUAGUUGGUGGGGUAAAGGCUUACCAAGGCGACGAUCCGUAGCUGGUCUGAGAGGACGACCAGCCACACUGGAACUGAGACACGGCCCAGACUCCUACGGGAGGCAGCAGUGGGGAAUGUUGGGCAAUGGGGGCAACCCUGAUCCAGCCAUGCCGCGUGCGGGAAGAAGGCCUUCGGGUUGUAAACCGCUUUUGUUCGGGAAGAAAUCCUCUGGGCUAAUACCCCGGGGGGAUGACGGUACCGGAAGAAUAAGCACCGGCUAACUACGUG